UGCCAACAGCCAUCGGCAUCUACAACGGCUCUCAAGAAACCUGCAGAAUAUGAGCUACAACAACAUUUAAUUUCCCUUUGGGAUUAAUAAAGUAUUUUUGAAAUGAAUUGAACUGAUUUGAAACCAUUAAAUCGUUGUAGUUGGGCUUAUUGUGGAUAUGACCACUAUAGCAAGCUAGCAUUAGGUAGCGUUAGCUUACCCUCACACAUUCUCUAGCUGGUACCACUCCAUGGCUUCCCUCCCUCUCCUGUACUGAUCCAGAGUGCUUCGUCUUGCAGCCCGCAGCAUCUCGGGCUCUUCUUUCACUCUGAGUCUGACAACAGCUAAAGACCAAGCAGUGGAGCGUCAACGUGCCCUGCAGCAGAGUCUGGAACAGCAAGACCUUCUUGGGUCUGCAGCAGUUGGUGUGCCUGGAACAUGCAUCACACAAAUACGAGGACCUAUUCCUGGUGGAUCAUUUAGACCACCACCAUUCGCCAGUGAGGACAGUGUGUCCCAGGUACCUUUUGCAGCUCUGAGCCUGGACUGGACUUUCUUCAGUCCUCUUCAGCCUCCAGACCUCCACAUAAAGUCCAGGGGCCUGCAGGAGGACCCUUACCUCCUCAGACAAGCCUCCAUCAAGGCUUCACAGGAGGAUCCCUGCACCCCAGAGCUUCUCCCACUGCGAGGGUACUUCCUGCAGUUGCUGCAGAGCGAGGUAAGGAUGUGGCUGCACGCACCCUCCAGUCCAGACUAAGGCUGCUGGGACAAGUGCAUCCAACAGGGAUCAGUCCUCAUCUCUUUGGACACGAUUCCUCCUCAUCCUCGCCAUUGACCCCACUGCCCUCCUCUGGAGGCCCUGACUCCCUCAUCAACCUCAGCUUUAACAUCAUCCCUGAUAACCAACCAAAGAAGAAUAGCAGAAGAAGCAACACAGCUGAAGAAGCAGGAGCUAGAACACCUCUGUCACCACACUCUGACAUCACUGCCCCACCUACUCCGGCUGUCUCAGACAAGUCUUCCUCCACACCCACCCACCAAUCAGAUGUCCCCCUCUCUGGCCUGGCUUUGUCCCCUGACUUAGAGAGGCAGCUACCAGCAAGCUCAACAUUCCAGCAGAGAGGCAACAUCUUGGGCAUGGAGGGCCAGAUAGACCACCUAUCUGUAAAUUGCCUGGAGGUCAAGGUCAGUAAUUUUAGUUCUACUGUUGCUCUGCUCCACUGUUUCUAUAUCAGGAUUGUAUAUCAGUAGUACCAUAAGUGGUAUUACUCAGGAGUAAUAAUAAUAAUAUACUUUUCAUCUGCCCAAGUUUGGUGACACGUGAAGGCAGAAGCCUUGGCGUGCUAAUUCCAUGCGGCUUAAUCUGGCUUUAGGGACAUGGAAUGUCCCUUUUCUGGCAGGUGAGGAGCCAGAGCUGUUGUAUGACCAGUAGCCGGUAAAAAUAUUUGGACUGACCCCUACACACAGCUUGGGGUGUGGAACACAACUGCUGGAUAGGGGCUGGACUCUCUUCUACUCCAGAGUUGCCCAGGGAGAGAGGCGCGGGUAGGGGGUGGAGAUACUCACAAGGCCUCAGCUUAGUGGUUUGAUUGAUUACGUUUUCUCCACAGUGAAUGAGAGGGUCAACUAUUUGCGGCGCCGGGUUCCAAGGUGGAUGUUUCUGACUGUUGUCUGUGCUUAUACACCAAACAGCAGUUCAGGUGACCUGGCCUUCUUGGAGUCUCUGGAUGGUGUCCUGGAAGGGGUGCCAUCUAGUGAUUCAGUGGUGCUCCAGGGGGAUUUCAGUGCCAAUAUAGAGAGCGACGGCGUCAUCUUGGAGGUGUGUGAUCAGGAAGAAUGGCCUCCCCGAUCUGAACCCUAGUUUUGUUGUUUUACUUUUGUGCAAGGCAUGGAAUGUCCAUAACAAACACCAUGUUUGAGCACAAAGUAUACCUGGUACCAGACCAGCCUGGGCCAAAGGCUGAUCGAUUUUAAUCCUGGACACUUGGGUGAAGACACAGGUGGAGCUGUCAACCAGUGACCACCUGGUAGUGUGUUGGAUCCGGUGGCAGGAGACACUGUUGGACAGACCCAGCAAACCCAAACAAGUGGUGAGAGUGAGUUGAGAACAUCUGGCAGAGGAACCUGUCUGAGUGAACUUCAAUUCACUCCUCUGGGAGAAUUUCUCUCCUGUCAUGAGGGAGGUUCAGGGACCCUCAAUGUGGAUUUGGCUUUCCGGAACUGUGCAGUGGCAAACAGAGGACCCACUGGUGGACACCAGUGGUGAUGGAAGCUGCCAGGCUGAAGAACGCCUUAAGGGCUUGGUUUUCCUUGGGGACCCCUGAAACAACUGACAGGUACCGGGUGGCCAGAGGGACCACCCGGUACACAAAGAGUGUUGGGGCGGGUUGCUGCGGGAGUAUGGGUUGCCUGGAUGGCCUUUUAAGAGCUAUCCAAUCCCUGUAUUCCCAAAGCAAGAGUCGUAUCAGGAAGUUGGGACUGUUCACAGUGUACGUUGGACUCCACCAGGCGUGCCCUUUGUCACUGAUACUGUUUGUGGUGUACAGGAUCUCAACCCUAACCCAUGAUUUGGUUCUGUUGGCUUCUUCAGGCAAUGACCUGCAGUGUGCACUGGAACGGCUUUUUGUUGACUUUGAAAUGGAUGAGAGUCAGGCCCUUUUAAGUCUGAGGCCAUGGUUCUCGACUGGAAAAAGGCGGAUUGCCCCCUCUUAUUUGGGGGUCAGUCUCUGCCUCAAGCAGAGAAGUUGGGUAUCUUGGUCUCUUGUUCAUGAGUGAUAGUACGAUGAAGCGGGACCUCUGACAGAUUAAUUGUUCCUGUUUACUCUCUGCUUUCUGUGUCAGCAAUGUGCUAAGGUGUGUCGGUGAUGUGUUAACAAUGUGCCAAUACCAAGUAGUACCACAGUGAUCUAUCAGUCUUACAACAGCCUGUUUAAUGUUCCCUUCUGCCGGAGGAGCAAAUGGAGGCACAGGCCUGUCGGAGAAAUCCUGUGAAGAUGGAGGAGGGUGGGUGUGAUAACUUCUCCCCCCCUGUCUCUCAGGGGGGAGAUGGAGGGAAAGGGCUGCUCAGACACCUGUUGAGGGACAAGACUUCACCUGUAACGAUGCCAUCCCCUACCAGACAUACCCAACCUACUGCACACCGCCAGCUGUUCAAUGACAGUGUGUGGUCCAUAGAGAAGGAUGGAUCUGGUUUCCAUUUCAACACAGUGGCGCUGACAGAUGGUCCUGGUCCAAAGAAAAUUCAGUGCAGUAAGAGACCAAAUCGUCCUGACAAAGACAGAGCUCCACCUAAGUCCAAGAGGAGGAAGAGGGAGGAGAAGAGCAUGCACUGCUUCCCUGACCCACUGAUGUCCCAGCUGAGACAGCUCAUAAAGCUCACAUUUUGAUUAAACAUGUCUACAUUCACAUGCACUCUGGUCCUCGAUCUGUCCUCCCCUUAGCUGUCGCUGCCACUCAUGGAGCCCAUCCUGCGGGUGAAUCUAAGCCUUUUACCACCGUACGGCAACUCUGUUGGAUGGGUGCGAAAACUUGUUAUCACUCAUUUAAAAACUUUGUGCUAAGUGCAGCUGCACUCUGCUCUGUAUCAUGCUCUGGUAUGCAGUCCUCCCUGUGUGUGGGAUUUCACACACCCUGU
This is a long non-coding RNA of Girardinichthys multiradiatus, 3613 nucleotides long. RefSeq lists it as uncharacterized. The transcript has 3 exons. Lineage: Eukaryota; Metazoa; Chordata; Actinopteri; Cyprinodontiformes; Goodeidae. The record is from RefSeq and is a predicted model, not a curated record.